This 342-nucleotide ribosomal RNA is filed under the name Escherichia coli. RNAcentral's name for it is "partial 23S ribosomal RNA". It matches the Rfam family "Bacterial large subunit ribosomal RNA", at positions 609 to 952 of the family's 2925-position model. Lineage: Bacteria; Pseudomonadati; Pseudomonadota; Gammaproteobacteria; Enterobacterales; Enterobacteriaceae. The record is from RNAcentral.
UGUAUAAUGGGUCAGCGACUUAUAUUCUGUAGCAAGGUUAACCGAAUAGGGGAGCCGAAGGGAAACCGAGUCUUAACUGGGCGUUAAGUUGCAGGGUAUAGACCCGAAACCCGGUGAUCUAGCCAUGGGCAGGUUGAAGGUUGGGUAACACUAACUGGAGGACCGAACCGACUAAUGUUGAAAAAUUAGCGGAUGACUUGUGGCUGGGGGUGAAAGGCCAAUCAAACCGGGAGAUAGCUGGUUCUCCCCGAAAGCUAUUUAGGUAGCGCCUCGUGAAUUCAUCUCCGGGGGUAGAGCACUGUUUCGGCAAGGGGGUCAUCCCGACUUACCAACCCGAUGCAA